UCCCUCUUAGCUCAGUUGGUAGAGCGCGUCACUAGUAAAUGUUAUGACGAGGUCAGUCGUUCAAGUCGGCUAGAGGGAA
Armillaria borealis is the source of this 79-nucleotide non-coding RNA. Lineage: Eukaryota; Fungi; Basidiomycota; Agaricomycetes; Agaricales; Physalacriaceae. The record is from the annotation of a GenBank genome assembly.